UCUAAUGAUCAUUCGCACCUGAAUAAGUCGAUAAUAUUUUCUGCAAAAGAAAUAAAAAAAAUUCUGUCCAUCAUGAAAUUUCUCGCUAUUUUCGUAGUCAUUGCAAUGGCUCUAGCAACUGUUAGCGCCCAACCUGGAUACUGUUUAGGACGCGGAUUACGUUGCCGGUUCCAUCGUCAGUGCUGCUCCGGACUUUGCCGCCGAGGAAGAUGCGCCUAAUCGAAGAUGUUUCGGAAAGAGAAGGUCACAAACGUCGAGUUCAGAAGCAGAUGCGAUGUUGUGUCAUUCAGCAAGUUCAAUGUACGAGAACAUCAUCGUUUGGCCUGUCCUGAUGCAGAUUAAAUUAAUUACCUGGCUUUUUCUGGAAUUAACUUUGUCAACUGUUCUGUAGUCAUUCUGAGUGAAUGGAUAACAUAAAAUAUCUAUAUUCAAGCAUA
Long non-coding RNA from Diachasmimorpha longicaudata, 437 nucleotides. RefSeq lists it as uncharacterized. The record is from RefSeq and is a predicted model, not a curated record. Lineage: Eukaryota; Metazoa; Arthropoda; Insecta; Hymenoptera; Braconidae. The transcript is spliced from 3 exons.